CGACUUCGGUCUGCGCCGGAAGUGCAUGAGCUGCCGAUGUGGUGCUUAGUGAUUGCGGUUUCGGUCGCUCUCCCGUGUUUCCCGGGCUGGGUAUUUGCCUCGCACCAUGGCGCCCAAGGGCAAAGUGGGCACGAGAGGGAAGAAGCAGAUAUUUGAAGAGAACAGAGAGACCCUGAAGUUCUACCUGCGGAUCAUACUGGGGGCCAAUGUAAGUGCCUACCUCCUUGCUUCUAUGCCCACUUAUAGUCAGUCCCCUAGUCCUCAGCCCUGCUUGGUGACGAGGAGUGGUACCCGAAAAAGCUCUAGAAGAGAGCUCCAGUCAAAAAGAAAUGAGAGAUCUGGGCACAGAGAAAGUGCUAACUAGUAAAACACAAAGAAAAUGAAGGCGUGAGUCGUAGCUGAAUUUGAGAGCUCUUCCUACCUCCAAGUACACAAAGGCUUCUUUCCUGGGCUGAGUUGGGUGUCAGAGGAGAGUGGGUAUUUGGGAUUCAGGGAGCAGGGCCCUUUCUUCAACCCUGUAAGAACAACCUUGCUCCUCCCACAGCCUGGCCUAAUUCUUGGUCAGAGUUGAGGGAGACCCAUGGUUUGGAGGUAACUUCUGACCCCAACCUGAUCCUGUGAUUGCUUGCAGGCCAUUUACUGCCUUGUGACGUUGGUCUUCUUUUACUCAUCUGCCUCAUUUUGGGCCUGGGUAAGUAUCUCCAUCCUGGGAGGUGGAUGAGUGCGUAGGGUCAGUGGCUGGCCUUUGAUACCCUCAUUCUUGCUCUGCAGUUGGCCCUGGGCUUUAGUCUGGCAGUGUAUGGGGCCAGCUACCACUCUAUGAGCUCGAUGGCACGAGCAGCGUUCUCUGAGGAUGGGGCCCUGAUGGAUGGUGGCAUGGACCUCAACAUGGAGCAGGGCAUGGCAGAGUGAGUGUCCCCCACCGCCAGCCCAGGUGAGCGGCCCCAGGGCUGGGGCCCAGAUAGCCCAAGAAACACAGCUACUUGUAACUUGAAAAGGGUGGAAGGGAGUUGCAACUUGAAAAGGGUGGAAGGGCCCAUAUGCUGUCUUUCCAGCUUUAUUUCUAUCCACAGGCACCUUAAGGAUGUGAUCCUACUGACAGCCAUCGUGCAGGUGCUCAGCUGCUUCUCUCUCUAUGUCUGGUCCUUCUGGCUUCUGGUAUGUGGGCUGGGGGCGCUCCCAAGAAGGGGCAUCUAACCCUCCCCAUUUUUUAUUCCCUGCAUCUUGCUUCAAGUUACCGUUUCUCUUGUAGGCUCCAGGCCGGGCCCUUUACCUCCUGUGGGUGAAUGUGCUGGGCCCCUGGUUCACUGCAGACAGUGGCACCCCAGCACCAGAGCACAAUGAGAAACGGCAGCGCCGACAGGAGCGGCGGCAGAUGAAGCGGUUAUAGCCAUUGACAUUGUGGCCACAGGCCACUGGCCCUGGGUGGCUCUGUCAGGGUGCACAGCCCCUCAUGCCUGGAGCAAUGAGGGUCUAGUCCAGGGGCCAAAAGCAGUCUGAGGUAUUGGGUAUACUUAUACUCUAU
Molecule: small RNA, 1525 nt
Filed under: Pan troglodytes (chimpanzee)
Lineage: Eukaryota; Metazoa; Chordata; Mammalia; Primates; Hominidae
Description: retained intron
Source: RNAcentral